This 303-nucleotide long non-coding RNA is filed under the name Ananas comosus (pineapple). RNAcentral's name for it is "long non-coding RNA (ACOM_LNC000432)". Lineage: Eukaryota; Viridiplantae; Streptophyta; Magnoliopsida; Poales; Bromeliaceae. The record is from RNAcentral.
AGCUCAUCACAAAUUCUCUCUCUCUCUCUCUCUCUCUCUCUAUAUAUAUAUAUAUAGAGUUAAGCUAGAAUACUUGUAAAAAUAUUAUGUGAGUGGUGUUUUUGAGUUUUUAGCCAUUGGAUGGAGAGAUGUGAGGUUGAGAUGAUGAUGGUAGGUGGUGGUAGGUGGUGGUAGGUGGAAUAGUAUUUGAUCCAAGGGCUAUUAGUAAUAUAGGAGUAGAUCCAAUGGCUAAAAACCUAAUAGCAUUAUGGAGGUGAUACUUGUAAAAGUAUUCUAGCUCAAUUCUAUAUAUAUAUAUAUAUA